This 464-nucleotide ribosomal RNA is filed under the name uncultured bacterium. Its description in RNAcentral is "partial 16S ribosomal RNA". It matches the Rfam family "Bacterial small subunit ribosomal RNA", at positions 338 to 795 of the family's 1533-position model. The record is from RNAcentral.
CCUACGGGUGGCAGCAGUAGGGAAUUUUCGUCAAUGGGCGCAAGCCUGAACGAGCAAUGCCGCGUGAACGAGGAAGGUCCUAGGAUCGUAAAGUUCUGUUGAAGGGGAAACAGAGCGGUGAGAGGAAAUGGUCUCCGCUUGAUAUUACCCUUCGAGGAAGUCACGGCUAACUACGUGCCAGCAGCCGCGGUAAUACGUAGGUGGCGAGCGUUAUCGGGAUUGAUUGGGCGUAAAGGGUGCGUAGGCGGCCUGCUAAGUUUGGAGUGAAAGGGACCGGCUCAACCGGGACAGGCUCUGGAAACUGGCGGGCUAGAGUGCGGGAGAGGGCGGUGGAACGCCAUGUGUAGCGGUAAAAUGCGUAGAUAUAUGGAAGAACACCGAUGGCGAAGGCAGCCGCCUGGCCUGUUACUGACGCUGAGGCACGAAAGCGUGGGGAGCAAAUAGGAUUAGAUACCCCUGUAGUC